GAGUUUGAUCAUGGCUCAGAACGAACGCUGGCGGCAGGCCUCAUACAUGCAAGUCGAGCGGUCCUUCGGGACAGCGGCGAACGGGUUAGUAACGCGUGGGAACGUGCCCUUUAGUACGGAAUAGCCAUUGGAAACGAUGAUUAAUACCGUAUACGCCCCAAGGGGGAAAGAUUUAUCGCUAAAGGAUCGGCCCGCGUUAGAUUAGGUAGUUGGUAGGGUAAUGGCCUACCAAGCCGACGAUCUAUAGCUGGUUUGAGAGGAUGAUCAGCAACACUGGGACUGAGACACGGCCCAGACUUCUACGGAAGGCAGCAGUAGGGAAUCUUGGACAAUGGGCGAAAGCCUGAUCCAGCCAUGCCGCGUGAGUGAUGAAGGCCCUAGGGUUGUAAAGCUCUUUCGCCAGGGAAGAUAAUGACGGUACCUGGUAAAGAAACCCCGGCUAACUCCGUGCCAGCAGCCGCGGUAAUACGGAGGGGGUUAGCGUUGUUCGGAAUUACUGGGCGUAAAGCGCACGUAGGCGGAUUAAUAAGUCAGGGGUGAAAUCCCGAGGCUCAACCUCGGAACUGCCUUUGAUACUGUUAAUCUUGAGUUCGAGAGAGGUGAGUGGAAUUCCGAGUGUAGAGGUGAAAUUCGUAGAUAUUCGGAGGAACACCAGUGGCGAAGGCGGCUCACUGGCUCGAUACUGACGCUGAGGUGCGAAAGCGUGAGGAGCAAACAGGAUUAGAUACCCUGGUAGUCCACGCCGUAAACGAUGAGAGCUAGUCGUU
Molecule: ribosomal RNA, 767 nt
Filed under: uncultured bacterium
Lineage: Bacteria
Description: bacterial SSU rRNA
Rfam family: Bacterial small subunit ribosomal RNA
Source: RNAcentral